CAGUCGCCGCGGGAAUACGGAGGGUGCUAGCGUUGUUCGGAAUCACUGGGCGUAAAGGGCGCGUAGGCGGCCUGUUAAGUCGGAUGUGAAAGCCCGGGGCUCAACCCCGGAACUGCAUCCGAGACUGGCAGGCUUGAGACCGGGAGAGGAGGGUGGAAUAUCCAGUGUAGAGGUGAAAUUCGUAGAUAUUGGAUGGAACACCGGUGGCGAAAGCGGCUCUCUGGCCCGGAUCUGACGCUGAGGCGCGAAAGCGUGGGGAGCAAACAGGAUUAGAUACCCCCGUAGUCCCUGUCUCUUAUAC
Molecule: ribosomal RNA, 301 nt
Filed under: uncultured bacterium
Lineage: Bacteria
Description: partial 16S ribosomal RNA
Rfam family: Bacterial small subunit ribosomal RNA
Source: RNAcentral